Molecule: long non-coding RNA, 171 nt
Organism: Xenopus laevis (African clawed frog)
Lineage: Eukaryota; Metazoa; Chordata; Amphibia; Anura; Pipidae
Exons: 3
Source: RefSeq, a predicted model, not a curated record
GGAAUAUGCCGCCCUCAGGAAAUCUGCCAAGCUGCCUCCUGAUCAUCCAACUCGAGUGCGAAACCGGAGGAAGCAGCUUGAGUAUUUGCGGCUGGAGAAUACUAUCAACCAACAUCUGACGCAGCUUCACCAUGAGUUCUUGAGGGAGCUGAAGCUAAAGAAAGCGGCUGG